Molecule: ribosomal RNA, 292 nt
Filed under: uncultured bacterium
Lineage: Bacteria
Description: partial 16S ribosomal RNA
Source: RNAcentral
GGACUACACGGGUUUCUAAUCCUGUUUGCUCCCCACGCUUUCGCGCCUCAGCGUCAGUAUCGGUCCAGAGAGCCGCCUUCGCCACCGGUGUUCUUCCCAAUAUCUACGAAUUUCACCUCUACACUGGGAAUUCCACUCUCCUCUCCCGAACUCAAGCACCAGAGUAUCAAACGCAAUUCCCAGGUUGAGCCCGGGGAUUUCACGCCUGACUUCCAGCGCCGCCUACGCGCCCUUUACGCCCAGUAAUUCCGAACAACGCUCGCCCCCUUCGUAUUACCGCGGCUGCUGGCAC